Molecule: long non-coding RNA, 966 nt
Organism: Bombina bombina (fire-bellied toad)
Lineage: Eukaryota; Metazoa; Chordata; Amphibia; Anura; Bombinatoridae
Exons: 2
Source: RefSeq, a predicted model, not a curated record
UGACCUAGCAAACACCCCACCAGCUUUCCCUCCCCUCCCUUGUGUCAGACAGAAAUUUACUGGGUGUAUAAUGGCAAAGAAGAAGGGGUGGCAGCUGAGCUCUGCCUACACUACAGCUGAGCUAGGUUUUCAAGCACCACGCACUCCGUCCCUCCCCAGGUUGCUUCUUGAGGUGAAGCCAGUUUCGCGCAUGUUGGAAAAUAAGACAGCACUGGAGUUUAUCUAGGGUUGUUGAAGCUUCAAGCAAGAUCCCAGGCUCUAUUUAUGCUUAAGGAAAUUGGCAAGUUAAUGACCAUGUAGGUUGAUGAUUGCAAGCCAACUCCAUGUGAUUUGGAGACAAAAGAUGCUUGCAGGGGAAUACUCUGCUUAAUAGCUAACAGGCACAUGCUACAUUUAUGAAAACCUCUUGAAAUCAGAUUGCUUUGAACCACUAGGUACCACACACUGUAAAACGCUAUAAAUCUAAGAAUGUAUUAAGAUAGCUCUUUCCACACUAAUUAUUUUAACGAUAAAAAAGACUUGUUACAAUUGUUUUGAUCAAUAACAUCACUAGAUAAUAUUUUCAUAAAGAUAGUAUCUUAUGGCAGAAUGCAAGCAGUAAAGAUAACCGCUCUCUUUAAACUUCUCCAUACCUGCUGUUGGGGAGUUGGCAUGAUGAGAUUUCUUUGGCAGGUUGAAGAUCUGUUCACCGGGGUCAGGAGGUGGAAGAACAUCCUGUCCUUGUCUGGCUUCCAUGGGGUCAUAUUCUUUGCCAUCAUAGUUGGCAUCAAAGAACUUUUUGAACCACUGAAUAAAAUCCAGGUUGUCUUGGAAACGUCCCUUUACCAGUUUUUCCACUGGAAUAACCUUAAAUUCAGAAAAAUACAAAUUCACUAUAGAGUGGAUUUUGGGAGUUACUGGAUAUUAAAGACUAUUCUCUUUUGAAUUUUGUUGUUCACCAGAUACAAUAAAAACGUUGUGAAUUUG